GGGGUGAUGGCCUACCAAGCGACGACGGGUAGCCGGCCUGAGAGGGUGUCCGGCCACACUGGGACUGAGAUACGGCCCAGACUCCUACGGGAGGCAGCAGUGGGGAAUAUUGCACAAUGGGCGCAAGCCUGAUGCAGCGACGCCGCGUGGGGGAUGACGGCCUUCGGGUUGUAAACCCCUUUCAGCACAGACGAAGCGCAAGUGACGGUAUGUGCAGAAGAAGCACCGGCCAACUACGUGCCAGCAGCCGCGGUAAUACGUAGGGUGCGAGCGUUGUCCGGAAUUACUGGGCGUAAAGAGCUCGUAGGUGGUUUGUCGCGUUGUCCGUGAAAACUCACAGCUUAACUGUGGGCGUGCGGGCGAUACGGGCAGACUGGAGUACUGCAGGGGAGACUGGAAUUCCUGGUGUAGCGGUGGAAUGCGCAGAUAUCAGGAGGAACACCGGUGGCGAAGGCGGGUCUCUGGGCAGUAACUGACGCUGAGGAGCGAAAGCGUGGGGAGCGAACAGGAUUAGAUACCCUGGUAGUCCACGCCGUAAACGGUGGGUACUAG
Molecule: ribosomal RNA, 552 nt
Filed under: uncultured Actinomycetes bacterium
Lineage: Bacteria; Bacillati; Actinomycetota; Actinomycetes
Description: bacterial SSU rRNA
Rfam family: Bacterial small subunit ribosomal RNA
Source: RNAcentral